AGCGAACGCUGGCGGCAGGCUUAACACAUGCAAGUCGAGCGGGCACUUCGGUGUCAGCGGCAGACGGGUGAGUAACACGUGGGAACGUACCCUUUGGUUCGGAAUAACGCUGGGAAACUAGCGCUAAUACCGGAUACGCCCUUUUGGGGAAAGGCUUGCUGCCGAAGGAUCGGCCCGCGUCUGAUUAGCUAGUUGGUGGGGUAAUGGCCUACCAAGGCGACGAUCAGUAGCUGGUCUGAGAGGAUGAUCAGCCACACUGGGACUGAGACACGGCCCAGACUCCUACGGGAGGCAGCAGUGGGGAAUAUUGGACAAUGGGCGCAAGCCUGAUCCAGCCAGGCCGGGUGAGUGAUGAAGGCCGGAGGGUUGUAAAGCUCUUUUGUCCGGGACGAGAAUGACGGUACCGGAAGAAUAAGCCCCGGCUAACUUCGUG
Molecule: ribosomal RNA, 433 nt
Filed under: uncultured bacterium
Lineage: Bacteria
Description: partial 16S ribosomal RNA
Rfam family: Bacterial small subunit ribosomal RNA
Source: RNAcentral